GUUUGAUUCGGCUCAGAUUGAACGCUGGCGGGAUGCUUACACAUGCAAGUCGAACGGCAUACGGACUUCAGUCUGGUGGCGAGUGGCGAACAGGUGAGUAAUGUAUCGGAACGUGCCUAGUAGCGGGGAUAACUACGCGAAAGCGUAGCUAAUACAGCACGCCCUUCGGGGGAAAGCGGGGGACCUUCGGGCCUCGCACUGUGAAACGGCCGAUAUCGGAUUAGCUAGUUGGUGGGGUAACGGCUCACCAAAAGGCGACGAUCCGUAACUGCGGUUGAAGACAAUCAGCCACGCUGGGACUGAGACACGGCCCAGACUCCUACGGAGAACAGCGGGUAGAAUUUUGGACAAUGGGAAACCUGAUCAGCCAUCCGCGUGUGCGAUGAAGGCCUUCAGGUUGUAAGCACUUUUGGCAGGAAAAGCAGCACAGGAUAAUACCCCGUGCAACGGCAAUUACCUGCAGAAUAAGCACCACAGCUAACUACGUGCCAGCAGCCGCGGUAAUACGUAGGGUGCAAGCGUUAAUCGGAAUUACUGGGCGUAAAGCGUACAGGCGGUUCGGAAAGAAAGAUGUGAAAUCCCAGAGCUUAACUGGAACUGCCAUUUUAACUACCGAGCUAGAGAGUGUUAUCAGAGGGAGGUGGAAUUCCGCGAUGUGGCAGUGAAAUGCGUAGAUAUGCGGAGGAACACCGAUGGCAGAAGGCAGUCUCCUGGGAUAACACCCCUGACGCUCAUGCACGAAAGCGUGGGAGCAAACAGGAUUAGAUACCCUGGUAGUCCGCCUAAACGUGUCAACUAGCUGUUGGAACCGGGCCUUGGUAGCGCAAUAACGCGUGAAGUUGACCAUAUAGAGUACGGUCGCAAGAUUAAAACUCAAAGGAAUUGACGGGGACCCACUGAAAGCGGUGGAUGAUAUAGUUAAUUCGAUGCAGCACGAAAACCUUACCUACCGCCGACAUGUCUGGAAUCCCGAAGAGAUUUGGGAGUGCUCGCAAGAGAACCGGAACACAGGUGCUGCAUGGCUGUCGUCAGCUCGUGUCGUGAGAUGUUGGGUUAAGUCCCGCAACGAGCGCAACCCUUGUCAUUAGUUGCUACGAAGGAGCAUAAUGAGACUGCGGUGACAAACCGGAGGAAAGGUGGGGAUGACGUCAGAAUCCUCAUGGCCCAUAUAGGUAGGGCUUCACCCGCACGUCAUACAAUGGUCGGGACAGAGGGUCGCCAACCCGCGAGGGAAGACCAUCCAGAAACCCGAUCGUAGUCGGAUCGCAGUCUGCAUCGACUGCGUGAAGUCGGAAUCGCUAGUAAUCGCGGAUCAGCAUGUCGCGGUGAAUGCGUUCCCGGGUCUUGCUUGCACCGCCCGUCACCAUGGAGUGGGUUUUGCGAAGUAGUUGGCCUAACCGUAAGGAGGCGAUUACCACAGUAGGAUUCAUGACUGGGGUGAAGUCGUAACUGAAUAG
Molecule: ribosomal RNA, 1457 nt
Filed under: uncultured Bordetella sp.
Lineage: Bacteria; Pseudomonadati; Pseudomonadota; Betaproteobacteria; Burkholderiales; Alcaligenaceae
Description: partial 16S-23S ribosomal RNA intergenic spacer
Rfam family: Bacterial small subunit ribosomal RNA
Source: RNAcentral